CGCAUAACAAUGAAGCUAAUUUUGACCCAAAGUCAGCUAUAAAAGUGUUUGUUUAGCUGGCUGUCACAUCCAGGUACGGAAACAUCCGUAAACAGGAUAUCCUUGUUUCUCCUUGAAGAAAAAGCUGCAGGGGUAAAGACACACUGGAGAGCCUACAGGUGUCUUGUCUUCCCCUUAAAAUGCGUCUCUUUCUUUCCCUCCGUAACUCCUCAAAUCCUCCGUGACCCAGAAACUGGAGUUAGCGCUUCCACCUAGCCCGGUGUCCCAAUGCUGUCGGAGACAAAAACAGCUCCAAGGUCUCCUGAAGGAAAUGCAAGAAAAGCCUGCAGUUUCUCUCUGCUGGCGGAGUGGAGAGAGUCACGUCCUUUGGACUGUCGCUGGAGAGCCGGCCCGAGUGCUUUAGGGAGAAACACACGUCCGGCGCCACUAAAGGGAGGUGCAGUGUUUUCCCCAACAAGUCCUGGGACCCACAACUGAAGGCUCCGCUGAAUGACAAAAAAAAACAACAGGAAUUUCAUGUCAGGGAACGAAGAGGACCUGAGGUGGGGACAGAGGAAGCAGAAGAGGUAGAUCAUCGAGGUCAAAAAAAAAAGCUGCAACAGGAAGAAGACUGAGGACAGCCUGCAGCAGAGGAAUGUGAGCGAGUUUGUAGGGGCAAGAAAAACAUCUUCGGAUACAAGAAAUCUAACAGCAGGCGGUCGGAGAACAUGCCUCCCAGGGUAUGUGCAGCCUCCCUCCAGGAGGUGGGGGGGGAGAUGAUGGCCACAUUAUCAGCCAUCACGGACAACACCUCUCACCCCCCACAUGGAUCCCUGUGCCCAGGGCGGCUCUCUCUAUGGCAUGCAGCUCCAUAAAUAAAGGCACACAGAACAUGUUUUUCAUCUCUGCUGCCACGAGGCUCUACAGUCUCCACCAUAAUAACCCCCAGACAAUAAGAUGUCAUUUUGUAUAAUCAUUUCGGAGCUAUUAAUUAAGUGUCCACUAUCUGCUCAAACAUAUACAAUGGUGUCAUUCAAAUGCAAAUUUUAAAAUCAAAUUAUAUUCAUUACACACAGUUUAUCUAAUGUAGUCUGUUAUCUAUGAACACUUUUACCCUUUAUUUCACAACACUUUCAUAUCUCUAAUUCUUUUUAUGCACUGUGUGACACAUAGUGUGAUUUAUAUUGUGCAUAUAAUCCAGGAUGGGAGGAGUUAUUACUGUUGUCAGUUAUUACAACAUUAAAGUAGUGUAACUGGAUUGCUUUCUGUUACUUUGUGGUUACCUCAAUAUCAAACAUUUGCAAAUAAAGAAAUUGCAAAAAUAA
Long non-coding RNA from Acanthopagrus latus (yellowfin seabream), 1304 nucleotides. RefSeq lists it as uncharacterized. The transcript is spliced from 3 exons. The record is from RefSeq and is a predicted model, not a curated record. Lineage: Eukaryota; Metazoa; Chordata; Actinopteri; Spariformes; Sparidae.